GAUUGCACAUUAUCCCUCUCUGCAGUCGCGGCUG
Non-coding RNA from Macellibacteroides sp. HH-ZS, 34 nucleotides. Lineage: Bacteria; Pseudomonadati; Bacteroidota; Bacteroidia; Bacteroidales; Porphyromonadaceae. The record is from Rfam.